AAAAGAGUAGCUGCGCUCCCCUGCUAGAACCUCCAAACAAGCUCUCAAGGUCCAUCAUGAGGAGGAUGAUGCAGC
RNAcentral lists this small RNA (75 nucleotides) under Ochotona princeps (American pika). RNAcentral describes it as "7SK RNA (ENSOPRG00000022758.1)". Lineage: Eukaryota; Metazoa; Chordata; Mammalia; Lagomorpha; Ochotonidae. The record is from RNAcentral.